RNAcentral lists this ribosomal RNA (833 nucleotides) under uncultured Methylovorus sp. Its description in RNAcentral is "bacterial SSU rRNA". It matches the Rfam family "Bacterial small subunit ribosomal RNA", at positions 58 to 883 of the family's 1533-position model. Lineage: Bacteria; Pseudomonadati; Pseudomonadota; Betaproteobacteria; Nitrosomonadales; Methylophilaceae. The record is from RNAcentral.
CAAGUCGAACGGCAGCACGGGAGCUUGCUCCUGGUGGCGAGUGGCGAACGGGUGAGUAAUAUAUCGGAACGUAUCCAAUAAUGGGGGAUAACUAGUCGAAAGAUUAGCUAAUACCGCAUACGCCCUGAGGGGGAAAGCUGGGGAUCUUCGGACCUAGCGUUAAUGGAGCGGCCGAUAUCUGAUUAGCUAGUAGGUGAGGUAAGAGCUCACCUAGGCGACGAUCAGUAGCUGGUCUGAGAGGACGACCAGCCACACUGGAACUGAGACACGGUCCAGACUCCUACGGGAGGCAGCAGUGGGGAAUUUUGGACAAUGGGCGCAAGCCUGAUCCAGCCAUUCCGCGUGAGUGAAGAAGGCCUUCGGGUUGUAAAGCUCUUUCGCAAGGGAAGAAAACUUAACCUCUAACAUAGGUUGAGGCUGACGGUACCUUGAUAAGAAGCACCGGCUAACUACGUGCCAGCAGCCGCGGUAAUACGUAGGGUGCGAGCGUUAAUCGGAAUUACUGGGCGUAAAGCGUGCGCAGGCGGCCUGAUAGGUCAGAUGUGAAAUCCCCGAGCUCAACUUGGGAACUGCGUUUGAAACUAUCAAGCUAGAAUAUGUCAGAGGGGGGUAGAAUUCCACGUGUAGCAGUGAAAUGCGUAGAGAUGUGGAGGAAUACCAAUGGCGAAGGCAGCCCCCUGGGAUAAUAUUGACGCUCAUGCACAAAAGCGUGGGGAGCAAACAGGAUUAGAUACCCUGAUAGUCCACGCCCUAAACGAUGUCUACUAGUUGUUGGUGGAGUAAAAUCCAUGAGUAACGCAGCUAACGCGUGAAGUAGACCGCCUGGGGAGUAC